GUUUUAAUAAUUUAAAAAAAAUAAUGAUUUUGUAAAUCAUAAUUAAGUAGAUACUUUUAAAACA
This 64-nucleotide transfer RNA is filed under the name Parathailocyba orla. RNAcentral's name for it is "tRNA-Thr". The record is from RNAcentral. Lineage: Eukaryota; Metazoa; Arthropoda; Insecta; Hemiptera; Cicadellidae.